Molecule: RNA transcript, 4535 nt
Organism: Crotalus tigris (Tiger rattlesnake)
Lineage: Eukaryota; Metazoa; Chordata; Lepidosauria; Squamata; Viperidae
Gene: ZDHHC18
Gene name: zinc finger DHHC-type palmitoyltransferase 18
Exons: 9
Source: RefSeq, a predicted model, not a curated record
GUAAUUUGAGGACUACCUGUACAGCAUACCACGAUCUAUGAAACUGUCAGUGAAAUAAUACAGGUAUUGGAUGUAUGCCUCAUUUUUCUAUAUUCUGGGAGCAACUUCAAAAUAUUGGAGGGGGGGGGAAUCUCCACCUUCAUAAAAAGCAGCGCAUUCUGCAAAUUGUUCCCGUUCGCGCCCAAGCCGAUUUUUUUUUUACUGCAUUUUCUAAACCAGGGCUAGAAAAUCCGGAAGCGGAGGGCCCCAUUGGUCCUCCCGGCAAACGAGUUCCGAUUGUAUCUUGGCGGCGCCCGCGAGGUACCUCAAGGCGGCGGGGAGAAGGCCGCCAGUCCGUCUGGCCGGCGCGCGUCUCCCCUGCGAGGGCCUUGGCGGGAGCGGCCCGGUGGGGCUCCCGGCCGGCUCGAGGGGGCGCUGCACCGGGAGGCCCGCGCUGGGAAGGGGGGCGGGGGUGAAAGCGCGUGCCGGCUGCUGCUGGCCCUGCCUCUCUCUCGAGCGGGCGCCGGAGAGGCAAAGCAGCCCGGUCUCUCCCAUCCCGGCGCUCCGGCAGCGGCGCCCGCGGGGGUCCGGACGGGGGAGGCCAGCCGCCGCCGCCAUGAAAGACUGCGAAUAUCGGCAGAUCCCCCCGGGCACCCCGGCUGCCCCCGCCGCUUCUGGACCCCCGACCUCCGUGGCCACCAGCGCUACCCCCGCGACUCUGGCUUCGCGGCCCCGCCGCAAGUGGGAGGUUUUCCCUGGGCGCAACCGGUUCUAUUGUGGCGGGCGCCUCAUGCUGGCGCGGCACAGCAGCGUCUUUCUCCUCACGGUCGGCCUCAUUGUGGUCACCAGCGGCCUCUUCUUCGCCUUCGACUGUCCAUUCCUGGCUCAUAACUUGACCAUGGCCAUUCCUAUCAUUGCUGGCAUCCUGUUCUUUUUUGUCAUCAGCUGUUUGCUACAAACCAGCUUCAGGGAUCCCGGUAUUUUGCCCAGGGCCACCCCCAGUGAAGCUGCAGAUCUGGAGAAAUGGAUUGACAACCUCGGCACUUCCACUUAUCGGCCACCUGCCCGAACCAUGGAAGUUGUAAUAAACAAGUAUAUGGUGAAAUUGAAAUAUUGCUACACGUGUAAAAUGUUCCGUCCACCCAGGACUUCCCAUUGCAGUGUCUGUGACAACUGUGUUGAACGAUUUGAUCAUCAUUGUCCCUGGGUAGGCAACUGUGUGGGGAAGCGGAACUAUCGAUUCUUCUAUGCCUUCAUCCUUUCUCUCUCCUUCUUAACAGCCUUCAUCUUUGCUUGCGUCAUCACCCACCUUGCUCUGCGCUCCCAGGGAAACGAUUUCCUCACUGUUUUGAAAACAGCACCAGCAAGUCUGUUGGAAUUGGUGAUCUGUUUUUUUUCAGUCUGGUCUAUUUUUGGCCUCUCAGGGUUUCACACUUACUUAAUUGCCUCCAAUUUGACAACCAAUGAGGAUCUCAAGGGGGCAUGGUCAAAUAAGAGAGGUUCUGAAUUUGCCAACCCUUAUAGCCAUAAAAGUGUCCUAACCAACUGCUGUGCAGUGCUCUGUGGGCCAUUUUACCCCAGUUUAAUAGAUAGAAGAGGAUUUAUCCAGGCAGAUGCUGGGACUCCCUCCACACCUAAGGGUGAAAUCCCUUCCUUUGGAACAAAAUCUGAUGCCAGCAUGGUAUGAACCAACACUUUAGCAACGCUGACAUACAUAUCUAAUGCCUACCUCCAGCUGGUGCCUCUCCUAUCUUUUACCAUUAUCUGGGCUCAGGCAGACAGCCUCAUGGAGCAGAAUCUCCAGAAUUCAUAUUCAAACCAGAGGCACUGGCCUUGUACUGAUUUUUUAAUCGGUUUGAUUUUUUUUAAUAUUUGGGGACUUAACCGGCCAUUGUUCACUGUUGCAAUUAAGCCUCUAGGUAGGACCUGCUGCCAUCUUGAGAUAGAGAGAUAAAAUACUUAGAGCAGAGAAUGCAAGGGAUUGGGAGAUUCCAGCUUCAUGAGAAAUAUCUUUUAUUGGAGGUUUUUGUUGGAAAGAUUGGUAGAAACAAGCAUAGUUAGUUUUCAUAUGGAGCUGUUAUAACAGAAUCAUUUCCUAAAGUAUUCUGCGUACUAUAUUUGUUCCAACAAUGUUAAUGUUACACUGUUUGUCCUGACAUUCUGCCUGAAUGUUGCAAAAGAAUAAUUGGUGCUCCUUAAACUGUAAGAGAGGGACAUGAAUCAUUUGAGGACCCAGCACUACCUUGCCUUACCAGCAAGUAUUGCUUGCUGAGGAACUUAGCCUGAGUGGCUCUUUUGGGUAGAAGUUCUCUAGAAAUGAUCAUAAAGAAAGUCUAUAGGAUCAGAAGCAGAAAAUUAUUUCUUAUUCUGGGAAUUGACUCAGGAUUGUCUAUUUCAGCUGAAUCAGGAUUAGAGCAAUAAGUUUCUAUAGGUUAUUUAUUUAAUAGGUGGAACAAAAUUAAAGAGAUCAGUUGGAAAUUCUUAAAUUAUGUCAUUCCAGAUGAGUUGUACUUAACCUGGUGCCCAUGGACAACUGUGCCACUUUUGUGUGGGGUAUAGUGGUUUGUAUAAGUAAGGCAUGUUCACUAAAGGCUGUUUCAGCAAAACCUACGUGUAUACAAGCAUUAUCUAAAACAGAAUUAUAAGAAGAAGUCCAUUUAACUUGGAUUUCUGAUUGUUUCUUUAAAGAAGGAGGGAUCCUGCUUCCUCUUGCUGAAUUUUCGUACAAUUCCACAGUUCCCAUCCCAUGGCACGAGAGAGCCCUUGCCCAUAGAUAAAAGCUAGAUGCUUGAAAUGUGUUUAUUAAAGCUGCUGGGAAUUUUUGCACAAAUUUUAUAAUUUUUUUCUAGCAGCGUUAUUUUGUCUUCUAAAAAAAAAUCAUUUUUACUGUCUGUAAACCUGUGUCCAGAAGCUGUUUUUUAAAGUGUUAUAUGUUAUUUCCUGGAUUUUACCAGCCAUUAGUAGGAAAUGGGGAACCUGUAGAACUCGCUCAUCCAAGGUGUUAGAUUUCAUUUCUUGUACUGUAUUCGAAAACAUCUAGAAGCUCCCUGGAUGGGUUAAUCAGCUAUGCAACAAUAAGAUAAUCCCUGUUGACCUUUGAAAACUGGGGUUUAUGAGAAAUUGAAUGGGAUUUUAUAUUUCCAAGAAAACAAGAAUAAGCACGUAAGUGUACCUUUCUCCCUCCUGCUUCUGCAGAGGAACUAAGAAGCACUCUUUUUAUUAAAGAAAAAAAAAUGCAAUCACUGUGGUCAGGAGUUCCCCAUUCUCGCCUUUCUGCCAAUUUAUUCCAUUCACUGUUGUGGGCUGUGUCUUGAGUAUCUCCAUCAUAUUUAGCAACGGAAACCACUGCUCUGGGCAUGUGGCUGACUUUUGAUAGGAAGAUUUAGUUGAAGAGCGAGUUGUCCAAAUCCUUUAAGGUGAAUCAUGACAACUGAUCUGAAGUAAGGUAGCUCAUCUGUGGGUAUAUUUUUGCACCCUUCCUAAAAUGUUUGACAUUACUAGAAGGAAUAAUGCUGUGUCUUCAGCAUGUCUGUCCUAAGUUGGAGCACUUCAUGAAGAAUUGCUAUGGCAUCUCUUGGCCUGUUUUAUAUUUUAGCUGAUUUUUCUGACAAAGUUGUAAGAAUGGGUAGUACAUACUACCGGUGCUCCCUUUCUGGUGUUUGAGUCUGAUUUUAAAAUUAGCUGAGGCAUUAGGCAAGAGUCACUGAGAUGUUCUGGUGAAGUUCAGAAGUUUUCAUAGCAGUUUCCAACAGCUAAAUGUGGCUGCAGUGAUAUGUGAUAUCAUUGUAAUUAUAUUCUGAUGCAUAUCACAGCUAGGAAAGCCUCUGUAUAACUCUCACAAUCCCCAGAAGUAUUGCUGCUCUCAGGACUCCACUUUCUGAUCACUAUAGAGCAGGGUUGAGAACCCCUGCUAUAGUGCAUAGUUCUCUUUCUGGGACAAUUAGAAAGGCUUUUCCCAACGGUAUGCUGGCUGAUGUAUGGGAGAGAUAUUUUUAUUCUGUGCCAUUUAGAUAAGUGCCAAUGCUGGGGUAUUUUAAUAAUAGUAGGCUUAAACCUAAAGGUUGAAACUGCUACAUCAUCGGUUCUGCCCUGUAAGAUCCCUGUCUCUGCAGUCCUGGGCUCUAUCACCUUGCAUGAACAGCUGAACUGCUCUGGGAACAGUUCCCAGAGAACCACUUUCAUGGCUCUCAACUUUUUGGGGAGGAAGCCUUAUCUGUAAUCUGUAAUCACGUAUAUGUGAGAGGUUGACUGAUGGAACCCGAAUGGCUCUUGGAGCUACAAAUAGGCACCCAGAAUAAUCUGGUUUUGAUCUCAGAAGGCUGUUCAUAACUUAUUUCUUUCAGAAAUGUAAUCAGACGGGAGGGUGAGAAUUCUGGAAGCGUUUUUAUGGUUAGGAAAGAGAAGAGUUGUUCUUAUUGAAGAAACGUUUGUGUUGCUCUUUAAGGCAUUACUGUAUAACGUGGCGGGGGAAGAAAUUGUAAGCAGUGUUCCAUUUGUGUGGUAAACACUCUUACGAUGACUAACGCUUUUGUAAUAAAAAUGUUUUUUUUUAAAGA